This 71-nucleotide transfer RNA is filed under the name Corynoplastis japonica. RNAcentral's name for it is "tRNA-Gly". It matches the Rfam family "tRNA". Rfam says of the family: Transfer RNA (tRNA) molecules are approximately 80 nucleotides in length. Their secondary structure includes four short double-helical elements and three loops (D, anti-codon, and T loops). Lineage: Eukaryota; Rhodophyta; Rhodellophyceae; Rhodellales; Rhodellaceae. The record is from RNAcentral.
GCGGAUAUUGCAUAAUGGUAGUGCCUUAGUCUUCCAAACUAACGGCGCGGGUUCGAUUCCCGCUAUCCGCU